Molecule: ribosomal RNA, 1378 nt
Filed under: uncultured bacterium
Lineage: Bacteria
Description: 16S ribosomal RNA
Rfam family: Bacterial small subunit ribosomal RNA
Source: RNAcentral
UGAACGCUGGCGGUAUGCUUAACACAUGCAAGUCGAACGGAAACGAUACUAGCUUGCUAGUAGGCGUCGAGUGGCGGACGGGUGAGUAACGCGUAGGAAUCUGCCUGAUAGUGGGGGAUAGCCCGAAGAAAUUCGGAUUAAUACCGCAUAAUCUAUUCGUAGUAAAGUGGGGGACUUUCGAGCCUCACGCUAUCAGAUGAGCCUGCGUAAGAUUAGCUUGUUGGUAGGGUAAAAGCCUACCAAGGCGACGAUCUUUAGCUGGUCUGAGAGGAUGAUCAGCCACAUCGGGACUGAGACACGGCCCGAACUCCUACGGGAGGCAGCAGUGGGGAAUAUUGGACAAUGGGGGCAACCCUGAUCCAGCAAUACCGCGUGUGUGAAGAAGGCCUGAGGGUUGUAAAGCACUUUCAAUUGUGAAGAAAAGUUAGCGGUUAAUAACCGUUAGCCUUGACGUUAACUUUAGAAGAAGCAUCGGCUAACUCCGUGCCAGCAGCCGCGGUAAUACGGAGGGUGCAAGCGUUAAUCGGAAUUACUGGGCGUAAAGCGCGCGUAGGCGGUUUAUUAAGUCAGAUGUGAAAGCCCCGGGCUUAACCUGGGAACUGCAUUUGAAACUGGUCAACUAGAGUAUGGUAGAGGAAAGUGGAAUUUCUGGUGUAGCGGUGAAAUGCGUAGAUAUCAGAAGGAACAUCAAUGGCGAAGGCAGCUUUCUGGACCAAUACUGACGCUGAGGUACGAAAGCGUGGGUAGCAAACAGGAUUAGAUACCCUGGUAGUCCACGCCGUAAACGAUGAUAACUAGCCGUUGGGGGGAUUUACCCUUUAGUGGCGAAGCUAACGCGUUAAGUUAUCCGCCUGGGGAGUACGGCCGCAAGGUUAAAACUCAAAGGAAUUGACGGGGACCCGCACAAGCGGUGGAGCAUGUGGUUUAAUUCGAUGCAACGCGAAGAACCUUACCUGGUCUUGACAUCCUGCGAACUUUCUAGAAAUAGAUUGGUGCCUUCGGGAACGCAGUGACAGGUGCUGCAUGGCUGUCGUCAGCUCGUGUCGUGAGAUGUUGGGUUAAGUCCCGUAACGAGCGCAACCCCUAUCCUUAUUUGCCAGCACAUCAUGGUGGGAACUAUAAGGAGACUGCCGGUGAUAAACCGGAGGAAGGCGGGGACGACGUCAAGUCAUCAUGGCCCUUACGACCAGGGCUACACACGUGCUACAAUGGGAAGGACAAAGAGCCGCGAAGCCGCGAGGUGUAGCUAAUCUCAUAAACCUUUUCGUAGUCCGGAUUGGAGUCUGCAACUCGACUCCAUGAAGUCGGAAUCGCUAGUAAUCGUAGAUCAGAAUGCUACGGUGAAUACGUUCCCGGGUCUUGUACACACCGCCCGUCA